Carassius gibelio (silver crucian carp) is the source of this 1464-nucleotide long non-coding RNA. RefSeq lists it as uncharacterized. The transcript has 2 exons. The record is from RefSeq and is a predicted model, not a curated record. NCBI's taxonomy places the organism in Eukaryota, Metazoa, Chordata, Actinopteri, Cypriniformes, Cyprinidae.
UUAGAAAAAGAGGUACAAUAGAGGUCCAUUUUUGUUCCCUAAGGUACAAACUUUGCAUAUGUACCCUUAAAAGUACAAAAAUGUAUCUUUAAGGUACAAUUGUGCACCUUUAAGGUACAAUUAUGCACCUUCCAUUGUACAUUGUGAGCUUUUCGAGGUGUAAGGUACAUAUUUGUCCCUUACAUAUUUGUACCUUAAUGUUUAAAUAUAAAAUGGCAGGAAUUAGUGGAUGCUGAAAAUGUCAUCUCUCAAUAUAGAAACACAAGUUAACCUAUACUAUCAAACUCAAUAAUGUCAAACUAAAUUAACUGUGAAGUUUUGAGAUAUGGGCAAAAUAAAUCAGAAUGUGUAAAGUUUUGAGAUAUGGGCAAAAUAAAUCAGAAUGUUUUUUUUUUUUUUUUUUUGUGAAGUGUCCCUUUGAAUCAUUUUUAAUCAUGUUAAUGAGGAUUAUGUAAUCAUUUAUAUUCACAAACAGUAUUGAAGAAUUUGAUUUUCAAACCAUUUACCCUAUUUAUAUUAGAAUAAAACAGACAAAUAAUUGUUAAUGCUUUAAGUUGUGUUCUAUUGAAAGGAUCUAGCUACAGGCUAACCAGAGUUUGACUCGGCGGAAGCAUAAAUAUUGCAGCGCGGAAGGAUACAUGAGUGAAUCGACAGUGAUCCAACUGUCAGUCUCUGUCAGUGUCGAUCAAAGGUGGGAGGAUGGCCCUUCGACAUUUAUCAACGGAGGAUUUAAUCACGGAGUUAUUUACUUUGGGGAUAGAGGUCACUGAAGAGGAGAAAAGUAAAUUCAAAGAUAAUGAUGUUGAUGGAGAAGCAGUGGACUCUGGAUUGACUGAGAGGAUGAUUUCAUGCCUCUUUGAAGGGUCGUUUAAGAAGCAAGCCAAAUUCAACUGAUUUGUUCAGCAGUGGAAAAAAAAGCCUGUGAAGUACAUUCAGAGAAGGCUACAGCACAUACAUACUGUGUCAAUGAUAAACAGUUUGUUAGUAUGGGGCAUUUAUGUUAAGCUGUGUUGCGAGGGCUGUAGAGGGUUGUGGAUGAGCUCAAAGCUUGUGUUUUUUAAUCCAGAACACAUCAAGUGUCAUUUAGUUUAUCCGUUAUUUGACUCUCUUUACUUUUGGUGGUCUUUGAUUAAAAACUCAUGUUUUUCUGCACUAUAUUGCUGUUCUUAUUAGUGAUGUUCAGGAAAUUGAAAGAAGGAAAAUAUAAAUGGUUACAUUGUAUUUAUUCUCUGAUAUCGCUGUUCAUUUUGUUUUUGGAGUGGCAGUAAGUUGUCAGUUUGUCAGUGAAAUGCUUCUUAAAAAAAUUUAAUUAAUUAUUUUUAAUGUUUUUAUAUCAGACAUGACAUCCUAAACAUUGUUACAUUUUAUUUUGGGUUGUUACAUUGAAUGGUUGUGAGAUGAAUUAUUAUUGAAUCUGUGAAUUAAAUUUCCAUUUAAGGACUAAAAUAAAUGUCUUAAAAUUCA